GAUGAACGCUGGCGGCGUGCCUAAUACAUGCAAGUCGAGCGAACAGACGAGGAGCUUGCUCCUCUGACGUUAGCGGCGGACGGGUGAGUAACACGUGGAUAACCUACCUAUAAGACUGGGAUAACUUCGGGAAACCGGAGCUAAUACCGGAUAAUAUAUUGAACCGCAUGGUUCAAUAGUGAAAGACGGUUUUGCUGUCACUUAUAGAUGGAUCCGCGCCGUAUUAGCUGGUUGGUAAGGUAACGGCUUACCAAGGCGACGAUGCGUAGCCGACCUGCGAGGGGGAUCGGCCACACUGGAACUGAGACACGGUCCAGACUCCUACGGGAGGCAGCAGUAGGGAAUCUUCCGCAAUGGGCGAAAGCCUGACGGAGCAACGCCGCGUGAGUGAUGAAGGUCUUCGGAUCGUAAAACUCUGUUAUUAGGGAAGAACAAAUGUGUAAGUAACUAUGCACGUCUUGACGGUACCUAAUCAGAAAGCCACGGCUAACUACGUG
RNAcentral lists this ribosomal RNA (497 nucleotides) under uncultured bacterium. RNAcentral describes it as "partial 16S ribosomal RNA". It matches the Rfam family "Bacterial small subunit ribosomal RNA", at positions 28 to 507 of the family's 1533-position model. The record is from RNAcentral.